AAAUGAGGCCAUUUACCCAGAGAGGGUGCCAGGCCCGUAUAACAUUAAUGAUUAUUAGAAUAUAUAUCCAUAGAGUCGUGUUGCUUGAUAGUGCAGCACUAAGUUGGUGGUAAACUCCAUCUAAAACUAAAUAUAACCAUGAGACCGAUAGCAAACAAGUACCGUGAGGGAAAGUUGAAAAGAACUCUGAAUAGAGAGUUAAAUAGUACGUGAAACUGCUUAGAGAUUAAACCCGAUGAAUCUGAAUAUUCUAUAUAGAGAAUUCAACAUUAUAUGACAUAUAUAUAAUUUAUUAUUAUGUGUAAUGGUGUGCAUUUUCUCUAUAUUAAAUGAACAUUGUAAUUUAUUAAUAUUAAAAUGAAAAUAUUUAUCAUAAGAUCAUAUGGAAUUAUAUGUUUAAUUUAAUUAAUUUGAUUUUUAUUAAUCAUAUUAAAAUAAAUUAAAUUCUAAUGAUUGGAUAAAGUAUUAAUAAAUUUAUAUAAUAUAAUGCAAUUAUUUUUAUAUUUUUAAUAUAAAAAUAUAUAAAUUUUAUUAUUUAUAUGCAUUUAUAUGAUUUACAAUGCGAAAGAUUCAGAAUACCUUCGGGACCCGUCUUGAAACACGGACCAAGGAGUCUAACAUAUGUGCAAGUUUUUGGGUUAUUUUAUUAAAAUACCUAAAAGCAUAAUUAACAUAACUUUUUAUAUAUAUAAUGGGAUUAAUAUUAUUUUAAAAAUAUAAAAUGAAUAAUAUACAAUCCCGGGGUGUUCUAUAUAGUUAUAUAUUUUAAAUUUUAUUUAUUAUAUAUAACUAGAGCGUACCUUGAGCAAAUAUGCUGUGACCCG
Molecule: ribosomal RNA, 824 nt
Filed under: Cerodontha atronitens
Lineage: Eukaryota; Metazoa; Arthropoda; Insecta; Diptera; Agromyzidae
Description: eukaryotic LSU rRNA
Rfam family: Eukaryotic large subunit ribosomal RNA
Source: RNAcentral